This 729-nucleotide ribosomal RNA is filed under the name Arsenophonus symbiont of Trichobius sp. Its description in RNAcentral is "bacterial SSU rRNA". It matches the Rfam family "Bacterial small subunit ribosomal RNA", at positions 363 to 1084 of the family's 1533-position model. The record is from RNAcentral. Lineage: Bacteria; Pseudomonadati; Pseudomonadota; Gammaproteobacteria; Enterobacterales; Morganellaceae.
AUUGCACAAUGGGCGAAAGCCUGAUGCAGUCAUGCCGCGUGUAUGAAGAAGGCCUUAGGGUUGUAAAGUACUUUCAGUUGCCAGGAAAGUGUUAAAAUUAAUACUUUUAACAUAUGACGUUAACAACAGAAGAAGCACCGGCUAACUCCGUGCCAGCAGCCGCGGUAAUACGGAGGGUGCUAGCGUUAGUCGGAAUUACUGGGCGUAAAGGGCAUGUAGGCGGUUAAUUAAGUUGGAUGUGAAAUCCCUGAGCUUAACUUAGGAACAGCAUUCAAAACUAGUUAUCUAGAGUUUUGUAGAGGGGGGUAGAAUUCCAUGUGUAGCGGUGAAAUGCGUAGAGAUAUGGAGGAAUACCAGUGGCUAAAGCGGCCCCCUGGUCAAAAACUGACGCUCAUGUGCGAAAGCGUGGGGAGCAAACAGGAUUAGAUACCCUGGUAGUCCAUGCUGUAAACGAUGUCGAUUUGGAGGUUGUAAUUAUAAAUUAUGGCUUCCGUAGCUAACGUGUUAAAUCGACCGCCUGGGGAGUACGGCCGCAAGGUUAAAACUCAAAUGAAUUGACGGGGGCCCGCACAAGCGGUGGAGCAUGUGGUUUAAUUCGAUGCAACGCGAAAAACCUUACCUACUCUUGACAUCCAGCGAAAUUUUUAGAGAUAAAAAUGUGCCUUCGGGAACGCUGAGACAGGUGCUGCAUGGCUGUCGUCAGCUCGUGUUGAGAAAUGUUGGGUUAAG